This 766-nucleotide non-coding RNA is filed under the name Pan troglodytes (chimpanzee). The record is from RNAcentral. Lineage: Eukaryota; Metazoa; Chordata; Mammalia; Primates; Hominidae.
GUAGGGUCUCAGGGCGACCCCAGCAGCCUGGAAACGAGGCGGGCUUCCCAUAUGUCACUUCUAAGUAGGAUAUUGGAGGAAUGAAGAGGUCUAAAUGACACGUUAAAGGUCCAAGCCCACCCGUGGAUCAGAACUUACCGGAGGCCACGGAGGCUGUUACCGCUAGGAAACUCUAGUCCUGGCGGAAGACCAACUUCUAGCCCAUCCCCUUACCCUGGCUCUAGUCCACUAGCUCCUUCCUAGUCACAACCGAACUCACGGGGCGGAGGCCCUUAAGGAGCACUCGCCUCCUUCAAUCGCCGACUAGAAGCUCGCCCGGUGGGCGGAGCCGUGCCGGCUCGGGGCAGAGCGAGGAGGCAGAAGUCUCCGCCUUCCUCAAGCUUGGUUGAGAAGUCCGCCUGCAGUUGCAAAGUACGGCUGUUUGAAAGCGGGCGCCAGAGGUGGCGGGAAGCUCCCCCUGUGCGCCCAUUGGUGGAUUCGAGAGCCAAUUACGAGGAAGUUACCCCGGAGUGGGCGGGCUGAUCGGUUGCCUAGAGACGCCGAGGCGCUUCACCCGCUACCUUCGGCCAGGGUGCAGCAGUCUUACGGGGACCCCUUGCCCGUUUGGUACCGGAGACUGCAAAGGUGACUCGUGCCUCCUGCGCUUCAGCACACAGAAUCCCGCAGAUUCCCCACCGAACUCUUGCCUUAGAGGUUUUUUACAUUUGCCCUUGUUUUCUAAGGCGCCUGCUUCCCCAUUAUUUAACAGCCUUAGAUAUUUUGCUUU